GACGAACGCUGGCGGCAUGCCUAAUACAUGCAAGUCGAACGCUGAAGCACUCUGCUUGCAGAGUGCGGAUGAGUGGCGAACGGGUGAGUAACACGUGGGAAAUCUGCCUAGGAGUGGGGGAUAACAUUCGGAAACGGAUGCUAAUACCGCAUAUCUUUUUGAACCGCAUGGUUCUUAAACGAAAGACGGCUUCGGCUGUCGCUCUUAGAUGAUCCCGCGGCGUAUUAGUUAGUUGGUGGGGUAAAGGCCUACCAAGACCAUGAUACGUAGCCGACCUGAGAGGGUGAUCGGCCACACUGGGACUGAGACACGGCCCAGACUCCUACGGGAGGCAGCAGUAGGGAAUCUUCCACAAUGGGUGAAAACCUGAUGGAGCAAUGCCGCGUGAAUGAAGAAGGCCUUCGGAUCGUAAAGUUCUGUUAUUAGAGAAGAACAAGUCAAGGAGUAACUAGUCUUGACUUUGACGGUACCUAACCAGAAAGUCACGGCUAACUACGUG
RNAcentral lists this ribosomal RNA (499 nucleotides) under uncultured bacterium. RNAcentral describes it as "bacterial SSU rRNA". It matches the Rfam family "Bacterial small subunit ribosomal RNA", at positions 28 to 507 of the family's 1533-position model. The record is from RNAcentral.